GGGAAACGAUGUGGGAAGGCCCAGACAGCCAGGAUGUUGGCUUAGAAGCAGCCAUCAUUUAAAGAAAGCGUAAUAGCUCACUGGUCGAGUCGGCCUGCGCGGAAGAUGUAACGGGGCUAAACCAUGCACCGAAGCUGCGGCAGCGAACGUAUCACCCAAGACAACUUUACGGAGUUGACGAUUGACGGAGCGAAGCGACGUCAAAGCGUUCAUUAAAGUCGAGUUGGCUUAGGGAUACGUUCGUUGGGUAGGGGAGCGUUCUGUAAGCCUGUGAAGGUGUGUCGUGAGGCAUGCUGGAGGUAUCAGAAGUGCGAAUGCUGACAUAAGUAACGAUAAAGCGGGUGAAAAGCCCGCUCGCCGGAAGACCAAGGGUUCCUGUCCAACGUUAAUCGGGGCAGGGUGAGUCGACCCCUAAGGCGAGGCCGAAAGGCGUAGUCGAUGGGAAACGGGUUAAUAUUCCCGUACUUGGUGUUACUGCGAAGGGGGGACGGAGAAGGCUAUGUUGGCCGGGCGACGGUUGUCCCGGUUUAAGCGUGUAGGUGUGUGUUCCAGGUAAAUCCGGUUCACUUUAACACUGAGGCGUGACGACGAGGCACUACGGUGCUGAAGCAACAAAUGCCCUGCUUCCAGGAAAAGCCUCUAAGCAUCAGGUAACAUCAAAUCGUACCCCAAACCGACACAGGUGGUCAGGUAGAGAAUACCAAGGCGCUUGAGAGAACUCGGGUGAAGGAACUAGGCAAAAUGGUGCCGUAACUUCGGGAGAAGGCACGCUGACACGUAGGUGAAGUGAUUUACUCAUGGAGCUGAAGUCAGUCGAAGAUACCAGCUGGCUGCAACUGUUUAUUAAAAACACAGCACUGUGCAAACACGAAAGUGGACGUAUACGGUGUGACGCCUGCCCGGUGCCGGAAGGUUAAUUGAUGGGGUCAGCGCAAGCGAAGCUCCUGAUCGAAGCCCCGGUAAACGGCGGCCGUAACUAUAACGGUCCUAAGGUAGCGAAAUUCCUUGUCGGGUAAGUUCCGACCUGCACGAAUGGCGUAAUGAUGGCCAGGCUGUCUCCACCCGAGACUCAGUGAAAUUGAACUCGCUGUGAAGAUGCAGUGUACCCGCGGCAAGACGGAAAGACCCCGUGAACCUUUACUAUAGCUUGACACUGAACAUUGAGCCUUGAUGUGUAGGAUAGGUGGGAGGCUUUGAAGUGUGGACGCCAGUCUGCAUGGAGCCGACCUUGAAAUACCACCCUUUAAUGUUUGAUGUUCUAACGUGGACCCGUAAUCCGGGUUGCGGACAGUGUCUGGUGGGUAGUUUGACUGGGGCGGUCUCCUCCUAAAGAGUAACGGAGGAGCACGAAGGUUGGCUAAUCCUGGUCGGACAUCAGGAGGUUAGUGCAAUGGCAUAAGCCAGCUUGACUGCGAGCGUGACGGCGCGAGCAGGUGCGAAAG
RNAcentral lists this ribosomal RNA (1442 nucleotides) under Salmonella enterica. RNAcentral's name for it is "partial 23S ribosomal RNA". It matches the Rfam family "Bacterial large subunit ribosomal RNA", at positions 1065 to 2405 of the family's 2925-position model. Lineage: Bacteria; Pseudomonadati; Pseudomonadota; Gammaproteobacteria; Enterobacterales; Enterobacteriaceae. The record is from RNAcentral.